Molecule: non-coding RNA, 526 nt
Organism: Pelobates cultripes (western spadefoot toad)
Lineage: Eukaryota; Metazoa; Chordata; Amphibia; Anura; Pelobatidae
Source: the annotation of a GenBank genome assembly
ACACAUUUGGGCAGCGCCAGAGGGGAAACACAUGGCGGUCAUCCUAUGCCCAGGCUGGGUAGGCUUUUCACAUGUUCAGUCAGUCUGUUGUGACGUCUGUGAGCUUCUGAAUCCUGCUCCCAGACCAGGGGAACAGCAUGCCUCUUGUUGUCGCAUGCUGGCAGAGCUCCAGUCUUCCGUCUGGGAGAGAGCAUGCAGGCUGGGGUGUCUGGUGGGGUGUGCGUGUCCGAUACCAUGCAGUUCGCCGGUGUCUUGGCUUUUGCAGCGGGGUGAGUCUCUGGGCGGGUCUCAGUAUGGGAUUGUCAGGAGUUGAUGGGGCACCUGGAGACAUAGUAGCAUGGUGCACAGGGGAUGCUCAGGCCUCCCUCUGAAGUAAUGUCCUUCAUCCCCUACCUGGAUCAUAUCGGUGUGGGUCGGUUUUAUCCUAUCCUCCAGCAUGACCCAGAAGCGGGCAAAGAUUGCAUCAAGUCUAGCUGAGAUGCUGCAUAAGGGAGCUGUGGAGUCUGCUGUGUGGCUUAAGGCCGGG